Non-coding RNA from Triticum urartu, 7979 nucleotides. The record is from RefSeq and is a predicted model, not a curated record. NCBI's taxonomy places the organism in Eukaryota, Viridiplantae, Streptophyta, Magnoliopsida, Poales, Poaceae.
CCCAGCAACCGCCCCGCCCACCGCCCACCCAGACCCAGCGCUCCCCUUGCCACCAAACCCGCGUGGCCCUCCGACGUCGGUUCGUCUCCGACCACGACUGGAAAAGGUCAAACCGCCACCGCGCGCACCGACUCUUUCCCGGAAACCCAUCGCCGCCAUCAGCUCCACGCCCCCCUAUAGAAAUACCACACAAGCCCCCCAUGGUUUCCCCGCAUCGGAGGAUUUGAUUGACUUGUCUUCUCCUCUUCCACCUCUCGUCGUUGGGUAAGUCGCAGGUAUGGUAUUCGUAAUCGGUCCCGAUCUCGCGCUCUGCUCGCUGUUCUUCGUUUGAUUGUAUUCCAGGCGAGCGUUCUGUCUUGGUUGAGGUGCUCCUUCCGUCGAGUUCUUAGUCCCGGUGGUUUCUCGUCUGUUUCGUUGAUAUUGGUACCGUACGUGUUCUGAACCUUGCUGCUUUGAUUUAGGGUCGCGGCUAAUCUAUUUUGCUUUGACUUCUGAUCUGAUUUAGGGAUCCAUCAUGCUCUGAUUGCGAUGUGAUUUAGGGUCGUGUAUCAUAUUUGCUGAUUUGAUUUAAGGUUGUGAUGAGUAACGGAGAUUAUAUUUGGCGCGAAUUACGAGUUAUGUUGGUAUAGAUACGUGGAGCAGUUCGUUUGGUUUCAGUUCUGUUCGUUAUGGCGGAUUGGCCUGGUCGGUUUAGUUGGUCCCGUGGAGAUGUUUGACAUGAUCCGAAUGAGAGAUUGAAGGUUGUGGUUUCAGUUUCGAUUCUUCUGUUCAAUUCAAGGUGAUUCAGUAAUGUUCUGCGUACAAAGUGCUUCAUAUUUUUGCGGCGAAAAACAGUGGGUUGGCGACAGUUCAGACAGUCAAAAUUCUCCAGUAUUUUUGCCUUUGAUCCCGUUCAUUCAUACAUAGUCAGACUCAAUAAGAAUUAGAGGAAGUUGGAAAAAGGUUUGCUAGGUCUAUCCGGAUAUAUUUGCUUUCGCCUAGCAGCCUAUACAUGUCAGAUUAUAUAUGAAAAGGAUUGUGCUAUAUUACCAUGUUACGAAGGUAGAGCUGGGAUAUGUCUUUCUUGAACUGUGUGCACAUGCUCAUGGUGGAGGUGUGAUUCUUCAGUGGCUAUAUUUUGGUGUCAACUUUUGGUUGGUUUCAUUUCAAGAUUGCUAGGAAAAUCGGAGGUUGUGUUUGCAUUCUAGACGUAAUUAUCUUGGGAAGUACCUCAAAUGAACAUGGAAGUUUUGCUUUUGAAGUGAUCUGUUUGAAGGUUCUUUCAACUAGAGUGAAGAAACUAUUGGAUUGUGUCUGCAAAAUUAGUUUACUGCUGCUGUGUUUUUCUGGAGUGGUAUGUCAAGGUCUAUUCAGAUGCUGGUUACUGUGUGGGAUUCUACCAAUCCUUCUGAUCACUAGCUUGUGCGUUUGAUUUUCUACAUGGAUAUUCGGUUGGGCUUCAGCCGGUUUCAUGCUCUGUCCGGUGUUGGAUUAGUCUUAGCCUGAUAAUUAGUACUCUUAUUGUAAUCUGUAGCCAUGUUUUUAUGAUUAGUAUGUUCUAAUGCAAUUUAUGUUGUACACAACUGUCAAUUAUGCAUCUGUUCUGAUGUUGCUUACUGUAACCGAUGUAAUUGUUGAAUGAUAUAUGGAUGCCAUAAUUUAGCCCUUCGUCUUCAUUUUGUUUGGUGUAUAAAAGCUGUAACCAAAUAGCAACUGAAUUUCAUAGCGUGAUGUUCUUUUUUCCUGCAUAAGUUACAUUUUUAUUCAUUGUUCAUCCAUGCAAAUUCAGUGGAUAUUGUUGGGAACAUCCUGCUUUUGUAGUUCUCAUCAUCUCAAGUUAACAAUGAUGACUUUUGACCUAACAUUUUGAACUUUGUUACGUUAUCCAUCGUUAUGUUGUCCGAUCAUCCGUUUAAUCAGUUUAACUGUGAAAUAUGGUGCUUGUUGUGCUGUCCAUAUGCAGAAGAUUAAUUUUAAUUAUCACAUGGGGUGCUUGCAUUUAAUCUUGAUUUCACAUAUAUCAUUCAUGAGUAUCAUAUUAUGUUGCUAUUUUACGUAGUUUGGUAUUAUAAGCUUGAAGUUCAUGUUAAUGUGAGGGUAAUACUGUGAGAUAACUAUGUUAGUCCAUAUAUAGAGUUCUAUGUUUGAAUUAUUUACAGUCUGCUUUUACUCUUGAGUUCCCAACCUAGUUAGUGUCAGUUAAGAUCUUAUACUGUUCAUGGAACACCUUAUAUGAUCUGUAACAGUUUUGAGCAAGUAUUCAAAGGCAAUAUAGUGAUAAGUGGCGUUGGUCUAAUCGUAGUUCUACGCGUAUGUUGUUUACAAUUUAUUUUCACUCUUAUAGUUUCCACCUUGUCAGUGAAUUAAGAUUCUAGUUCUGUUUUUGGAACUUGAUUAACAUGCAAUAAGUUCUGAUUUAACACCCCCCCCCCCCUCUGGUUGAGAAUUGAGAUUAUAUGGCACAUACUGCAACUUUCAAGCUUGGUAGAAGAUUUAUUUGCAUGUGAUUUAGCUUUCCUUCCCUCCUUAUUUUGUUCAGAUGAUAAGCAUAAGCAUGGUAUGUACGGUAAUUUUCAGGUGCCUUGUUUUCAAAAUAAAAACAUUUUAUUAUGCUGUGAGAUUAUUUGAAUAACUACUUGUCCCUGAUUCGUUGUGUUGUAUUCAUCUCUUAGGUCUGAACAGUGCAGUUGUUGUAUAUGACCUGAUGUUCCUUUUGCGUCCUUGGAUGUGGGCUUCUGUUUGUUUACUAGUUCUUAUUAGCUCAGCAACUAGCUGAGUCUUAUCCUCUUGACUAACUAGAGCAGUCUUAACAGAAAAUACGAUUUAUUUGUUGUGCUUAACUACUCUUAAAUUGUCUGCAUGAUCUAGUUUUGACGCUUUUUCCUGAAUAAUGUAAAUAAUGUUGUGCCGUUUAACUUGUUACUUGAGUUCCAAUUCCUACAGUUCUAAUUUUCUUUUGCUUGACAUAGAAUUAUGCUAUCUGUUGAAAUUAUUUAUCUUGCUACUGGUCACUAUUCACAUGAUUUUUUAAUGGUUAGGAUGAUGUUACGAGCCAAGUAGGUGUUGCUACAUUCUACGCUUUAUUAUUUAGUUAGAUAGAAGUCACCUGGAAAAUACAUCAUAGGGGUUUUAAUUUCUCAGCCUUGGUGACCAGUUGUAUAUAAGUUGGUAGCUUUUUAUUUUAGUUCAAAAAACUUGAUUUGUUCAUAUGAGUUCUUAGUUUCCUUUUAAGCCUGUUAUGCUGUACAUGUGUCUAAAUAGAAUUUUCUGGCCUAUCGGUAUUUGUUGUUUGUACUGCAUUUUCAGUUUUUUGCUAAUAAUAAAUGUUUGGUCAGUCUUGGUAUGCCCCUAACCCUCUUGUUGUUUUGUUCUAGUCUGGAUUUGAGCUCUGUUCCCUAUCCCCAUGUUGCACCGCUUUAAGAUAUUUUAAAAUCUUUUGAUGUGCUGCGUGUAUAUCCUUAACAAACUCAAAUACAUUUUUAUUCAUCGCCAGGUAAUACCUUACAAGUUUCUUUGUUGAGAAUUAGGUGGGCAAGCUAGUUCGUACUGCCGUUUAUUUCAUGUUUGCACAUCUUAUUGACACUGUUGACAUAGAGAUUUAUUUUGAGAAAGAGUUUGUUUAGUCUUGAUCGCUAUGUAGUUCUGUGCAGUUCAGUCACCAUCUUGUACGUUGUUAAUUUAUAAUGUUAAAUAACUUAUGUGUACAGUAAACAAUCUUUUACUGAUUCUACUUGUGAUCCAAUUACUAAGUACUAUACUUGUACGUGAAUGUCAAAUUGAUUUGUACCAGAUUGUUAUUAGACAGUGUUUUUCUUUCCUCAUCUGUUGCAUUUUGAAUGACAAUAUAAUAUAUGUUGUUUUUUUCAAUCUUUACUGUUGUGUUGUUAAAAAUGUAUGUUUCUCCUAUUUGUAUUUUGUUAUGGCGCUGCUAGAAGGAGGGCGCGAGAGGGCCGGCCGGGGGCCUUUUGCCCACGGCCGGGCAAGAUGGAAGGGAUUUCCUUCUUAAUUCUUGCUUGACUAGAUUGAUACAUCUCCUCCCCUUAUAUAGAGAGGUUUACUUGACUCCCCAGCAAGGCUUACUUGACCCCUAAGCAAGCGACCCUUAUCUCUAAUUAACCCUAAGACUAACAGGCUAUACCGCCAGCCCAGGCCCAUUAGGCCCAUUACGUACUCCAACAGUUCUUUCUUCUAAACUUAACAACUAUUACAUGCCUAUAAUUUUGCAAAUAAGUAGCUCUCGUAGGUUCAGUAGCACCAUGCUUUCCGAAAUGUGAGUUCAUAUAUUUAACUUUCUUCCAGACAUCUUUUCGUGUUGUACAAACUAGGCCAUACAUUUUUACUCAAAGUUCAUAUAUCAUACCAUUGUCAAGUUAAUUUGGUACUCCCUCUAUCUGUUUUUAAGUCAAAACUUUCACAAUACAAAAAGUAUGUAGAAAAGAAAACACCAACAUUCACAAUACAAAAACAAUAUCAGUAAGAUUCAUCAUAGAAUAUAUUUUCAUAUUGUAUUUGAUACUGUAGAUGUUUGAUACUUCUCAAAAAGAAACGGAAGGACUAUUUUUUUCCGUUGUUAUAGCAUUGUUUUGAAAAUGGCUAUUUUAUCUUAAAUGGUGCAUCGUGCAUCAACUUUUUUGGCUCUGCAUUGUCCCAAAUUUGGUGCAUGGCUGAAUUUGAAGUGUGCUUGUGGUAAUUAUCAAGGUGUUAAUUUUGCAUGUUGACCUUUUGUCCCGGUUAGUUAUUGGUCUCUUUUCAAAGCUUUGGCGGCAUUUUGAUUUGUUGAAAAUAACAACUAUUUGAAGAAUGUUCACUCGGUUUACCGGACAGUCAAGUACCUGAUAUUAGUUUGGCCUUUUGAUGUAACUGUAACAAUUGCAAGCUUGAGAAGUUGAAUUUGGUUUGGUCUGGGACUUGGGCGGUGUAUUUGUUAGCUGCAGUGCACUUCUUUUUAGAUCUCUAUAGGUGUUGUGUAUUUUCUUUAGUGCAUUAUGAUAUACAGAACUACUCCCUCCGUUUGUUUUUAUAAGACGUUUCAGACAGCUUGUUUUGUAUUGUUUUAAACAGUGUCUGAAUGUCUAAAACGUCUUAUAAAAAUGAACAGAGGUAGUACUUUUUUGUAUUUGACUGAUUGAAUCGUGCCUCUUAAAAGAUGUUACAGUUCCUAUUUGUAAUCAAUGUGUAUGAUUCAUUUUUUGGACGGUGUGUAUGAUUUGUUUUGAAGUGAAUCGUUUAUCUUUCUAUAAAUGCGAGUGUUUGUGUCCAUUAAAAAUCUUGCGCCGGUUCUUGAUUCAGUAGCACCUUACAUGGCUUUGAUCUGUUAAUGUGGAUUUGUGUUUUCAUCUGGUAUACAGUUCUCUUGUGUUCAGUGUGUGCAUAAUAAGUCAGAGUGUUGCAGUAUAUGCCUUCGUUUAGUUUUGUCCCUUGCAAUUGUGGCAGUAUCUUUCUAUAUAAUUGAUAAUUUCGAACAUGAAUAGUUGAUUGUUGAGUUUCUUCCCAUAUAAUUGAUGAUUUUGAAUAGGAAUAGUUGAUUGUUCAGUUAAUAGUAAAAGUUGGGAGUGCUUAUGCCUUACAAUAUUUCGUAUCUUUGUUUCCUGAAUUAGUUAUCUUUCUUGGUUGGGACAUGUUGUUAAUUUGUGUUAAUCUGACAUGUUGUGUGCUAUUGUGUGCAAAAUGACCCCUCCAAAAGAGGCCUUCUCAUUUAAGAAUACUGGAAUGAUACAGACGGAUAUGUUUUGCUUUGUUUUCUUGGGUAUGACUUGGAUGCUAAUACUUCAGAUAUUUUCUUCAAUUUUAUUCUUCAGAUAGUUGAAGGUACUAACUGAUUUUUUUACAUUUAUAAGCUUUGUUGUGAUAACGUGUUCUUCAAUUUUAUGUUUCCUUUGUUUGCGAUUUUGUCCAAAACAAUUUUAGUGCCUAUAUUGUAUGUUCAUUAGCACACAUCUGAAAUGCAAGUUCCUACAUUUUCUGUUUUUUUUUUGCUGCAUUCAACUUAGCUAUCAAUUCAACAACUUAGCUAAACAUAUCAAUUAUAUGUUCAUAUCAACUUUUUAUCCAUCGUUGUUGUGAGUAUGGCUGUCUUAAUUAUAUUAGAUACUUAUUUUGACAGGGUCUCAGAUUUGGUGCAUGUCGGAAUUUCUAGUGUGAUACUGUACAGUCAUGAUGCAAGGUGUUAAUUUGUGUAUGCUGACCUCAUCUGCGUGAAAUAGUUGAGCUAAUUAAUAUAACUGCAAUUUAUGCAAUUAAUAGUCAUGAGAAUUUGCUAUUUAUGUUUUAUUAUUUUAUAUCGGCGCACAAGUCUUUUAUGUUGGAUAGAUUGAGUUUUGCUUGGCGGUAGCUUCUAUUUGUAUGAUUUCCUUUGAAAGGGAUAUCGUUUUGUCGAUGGGUUUGUUUUCAUAGCCUUGCAUUUUGUGUGUGUUAUUUGUGUGCAAAAAAGAGUCUCAGUAGGUCAUUUUCUUAACCAUUUCUGAGCAUCUCAUUUUGAUGUGAGCUGUGUAUGUUGUUUGCAUCUCUAUUUACAGUUUGUAUUGUUUGCCCUGUUGACAUGUUUCAUAUUUGCCUCUGUAGAUUUAUUCUUUAUAUGUGAAGCGUAUGUAUGGGGUGGGUGAGGGUGCGUAACACUGCCAAUGCUGGUCCCAAGCCCGGAUAAAAGUGGAGGGAGCACCAACUAACUAUUGUAUGUGACAGUCUAUUUUGCGGAAGUUGUUUCUGACUUUCAGUAUUCUAGAAUAGAAUCUAAGCGGAUGUACCUAGCUGAAGAUGUGGGAGCUCGUCCAGCUUGAUUAUGCACACAGGAAAUGAAAAUCUCUGGUCGCAACUAAUCCUAGCAUGAAAAUAGGGAAGGAAAUAAGAACUUGGAAGGUACAGUGAUGUUCCAAACCCAAAUGGAAGUUUGCCAAACUUGUCCUGAGCAGAGCCGGGGGACAUUGGUGGAAGUCAUCGUUUUAACUUUGUAGACUGUGGUCAACUCUACAAGUAGCACGGGCAAAAUAUGUGCAAAUUUUCAAGCUUGGCAAUUUAACUAGAUGAUAAUCUAAUUUCACGUUCUUUGUGGUACCAGAAGAUCAAAAACACAUGCUGAAACUUUGCAGCUUAGCGCUCUAUUUCAGCGAUGAAGAGAGAGCAACGACAAAGGUUCAUUUGGUAAUUCUCAUCCUCUCUUUACUCCAUCAAAUCUGCUUAUGAACAACACUGUUUGAAGGAAUUGUGAAAUCUCCUCUGUUGGCUAUUUGUACUCUGAUGUCAUGUUGGCGCCCUCUUUCUAAAUGAUCCAAUGCCAGCAGAGUGGAAGCACAGAGGUGACAGGGCUGUAGCAGAAACAUUUGUGAUUGUAUCCCGUGGUUCUUCUGGUCUGCCAGCUCUUGGCUUGGGCAUCGUUGCUGUCCGGUGCCUUGCACGUCCCGCCAACACAAAUAAAAGAGUAACCUUGUCAACGGGCUCCUCCGCCUAGCACAAAAAAUAGUCGAAAUCUCUCUGACGCAGUCGCCAGAGAUGCAGCCAGAAACAAGCCUUUGUUAGACGGAUUCGCAAUGCCAACAUCCUAGCUUGGUUCAGCUCAGCACGAGUGCACGACACCAGAAACCGUACCACUUGGCGGGUGAAACGACGCUCCAGCCUGAAAGAACUAGUCAAAUUUCUCUCUUCUUCUUGCUUUGUCCAAGACCCCAAGGUGUCCAAAACCUGUGUUGUUCGACACGAGAGCGAUCAAGCUUGAGAAGCAGAGCAAGAUCAUCAAGAUGGACCACCUUUCUCUCCUCGUGCUGCUCGUCGUCUGCUUGUGCCUGGCCAUCCAUCUCCAGGGCGCCAAUACGGCAACUCCUCCAACAAUGGCGUGGCUGGGGUCGCCGGCCCGGGCUACUCCUCGCUGGGCGUGGCCGCCGCUGCGCUCGUUUUUAACUGAAGAUGACCUCACCUGAGCUCCUCGAGUUAGCUGUUGCCUGCUUUUGUAUCAUUACUUAGUGAUGUUCUUGAAUAAAUAUUUAAAUAUAUAACAGGUAUUUUUUUGC